This is a long non-coding RNA of Pseudoliparis swirei, 736 nucleotides long. RefSeq lists it as uncharacterized. The record is from RefSeq and is a predicted model, not a curated record. Lineage: Eukaryota; Metazoa; Chordata; Actinopteri; Perciformes; Liparidae. The transcript has 6 exons.
ACGUGAAUUGAUAUCCUGCAAAAUUAUUGAAGAUAUCAGCACUGGACCCUGAGCAGUGCAUGGCCUGCAAGAUCAUGAGAAGGCUGAAGAACCAGGAGUGACAAGAUACCACUGGAUGGUGGGGCACAUAAUUCCACUCAAGGACAGUGAUCUGAAAAUGUCUGUUUACCAACGGUCCCCAUCCAACCUGACAGAGCGUGUGAGGAUCUGCAGAAAAGAAUGGCAGAACAUCCCCAAAUCCAGGGUAUUGAGUGUAGAUUGAUGAGCUCAAUAAGGAUUGGAACAACAUUGACGGGGGGAAACACCCAAAGUCCAUCACUCAUGCACCGAGGAUCUGGCUGAUUACUGGAAAUUUGGAAGAUUGUUCUUUACCUGCACUGUCACUUCUGGUAAAUAUUCAUGAAGAAGAAAUAUACUUUAUUAAUCCCCAAGGGGAAAUUAGUUCUCUGCAUUUAACCCAUCCUUAGUUAUGAAGGAGCAGUGGGCUGCAGUGAUGCGCCCAGGAAGCAACUGGGGGUUCAGUGCCUUGCUCAUGGACACUUCGACUUGCAACUAAUGGGGAGAGCGGGGAUCGAACCCACAACCUUGGGGUUGUAGGACGGCCCUCUUACCCCACUGAGCUACAGCCGCCCACAAUUAUGGACCUUUUGUUUAUGUUUUGCUUUCACUUAUCAACUGAUAGUGAAUAAUUGGUUGAUUUUGAAAAUGUACAUUAAAUAAAAUGUUUUAAAAUCAA